AUACGUAGGGUGCGAGCGUUGUCCGGAAUUACUGGGCGUAAAGAGCUCGUAGGUGGUUUGUCGCGUCGUCUGUGAAUUUCCGGGGCUUAACUCCGGGCGUGCAGGCGAUACGGGCAUAACUUGAGUCCUGUAGGGGAGACUGGAAUUCCUGGUGUAGCGGUGAAAUGCGCAGAUAUAAGGAGGAACAUCGGUGGCGAAGGCGGAUCUCAGGGCUGUAACUGACGCUGAGGAGCAAAAGCAUGGGUAGCGAACAGGAUUAGAUCCCCUGGUAGUCCAUGCCGUAAACGGUGGUCGCUAGGUGUAGGGGUCUUCCACGACUUCUGUGCCGUAGCUAACGCAUUAAGCGCCCCGCCUGGGGAGUACGGCCGCAAGGCUAAAACUCAAAUGAAUUGACGGGG
RNAcentral lists this ribosomal RNA (398 nucleotides) under uncultured bacterium. RNAcentral's name for it is "partial 16S ribosomal RNA". It matches the Rfam family "Bacterial small subunit ribosomal RNA", at positions 523 to 918 of the family's 1533-position model. The record is from RNAcentral.